This 381-nucleotide ribosomal RNA is filed under the name Triticum aestivum (bread wheat). RNAcentral's name for it is "partial small subunit ribosomal RNA". Lineage: Eukaryota; Viridiplantae; Streptophyta; Magnoliopsida; Poales; Poaceae. The record is from RNAcentral.
AUGUUAAAAAAAAGAGUUGGCAUAGUGCUUAAGCUUGAUUUCGAGAAAGCGUAUGGCAAAGAUAACUGGGAUUUUCUUCUGGAAUGUCAUAAGUUGCAUGGCUUUAACGAAACCUGGUGCGGUUGGGUCAAACAAAUUCUUUAUAAGGGCACCGUCAACAUUAAGCUCAAUAAUAGUGUGGGCCCCUACUUCCAGAGUGCUAAAGGGGUGCGGCAGGGUGACCCACACUCUCCAUUCCUGUUUAAUCUUGCUGUUGAGUGUCUGACUAAAAUGAUCAAAAAUGCCCAGAAAAAUAAGCUGAUCACGGGAUUAGCUUCCGACCUGAUUCAGGAUGGGGUCGCGGUGUUACAAUAUGCAGAUGAUACUAUCAUCUGUUUAGAA